This is a non-coding RNA of Aedes albopictus (Asian tiger mosquito), 73 nucleotides long. NCBI's taxonomy places the organism in Eukaryota, Metazoa, Arthropoda, Insecta, Diptera, Culicidae. The record is from Rfam.
UGUUCUGUGGCUUAGUUGGUUAAUGCGCCAGACUAGCGAUUCGGAGUCGUAGGUUCAAAGCCCACCAAAGCAA